Molecule: long non-coding RNA, 703 nt
Organism: Neopsephotus bourkii (Bourke's parrot)
Lineage: Eukaryota; Metazoa; Chordata; Aves; Psittaciformes; Psittacidae
Exons: 3
Source: RefSeq, a predicted model, not a curated record
AAUACAACUUUCCAUUCAUCCCUAAUGUUUCAGACCUGAUAUCUUUACAGGUGUUUGUGUAUCAUGUGAUGAUAUUAAGGAGAUAGAUGACAUGUACUCUUAAGAGGAGCAAACUCAGAGUUGUCUCUUUAAUUUUUUUCUUUUACAUAGGCUUUCUCCUGUUUCUUUCUUACAGAUUGAAGGAGAAAAACAUACUUAAAGAUACAGUCCUGUACAUCAUUUUCAGGAACAAACUGCAAAAUUUCAAUGCUAAGCAUGGAUCUGUAUCACUUGAGCUACUGAAGGUGAGUACCUGCAAAAGAGUUAGGCUGCUGCUCCAUCUUUCUAAGGAGUGUUUAAGUGUUGAAGUGGAGAAGACAGCAUCCUGCGUCAGUCUGCUGAUCACUGGUUUGAGUCAUUUCCUGUGAGCCUGGGAUACCAACCUGCAUUCUCUCUGGCAGAGGCAGGAAAUGAUCUUGUUCCCUGUGUCUCGACCUGGAAAAGCGUUAUGUUUUAUCUUUAAAAGCCAUAAAGGUUCUUCGUUCUUUUGAGGAUCCAUUUCUCUUCUUUCUUUUUUUACCAGGGGAAAUUGAUAGAAGGGCAAAAGAGGAGAUAAAUGGGAGGCUGGGAAAUUCAGGUAAAUCUUUUUGUGCUUGACUUUUUGCAAUAUUAAAAUAAUUACUAAAGGAAUAUAUAUUUCUGAAUAAAUAUGUUUUUCAGAAAA